ACAAGCCAAGAGACACAAAGGGAAAAGUGUGACUGUUCUGAAAGCAAAACAAACGAAUAUCUCCAGAGGGGAUUAGUCCUCCUGCUUAGAAGUAACCAAAGCAAAGAAAGCUAAGCCUGCUUUAACUGGGAAGAGCACCUGCCCAACAGACAAGUAUGAGCUAAU
Non-coding RNA from Pteropus vampyrus (large flying fox), 165 nucleotides. Lineage: Eukaryota; Metazoa; Chordata; Mammalia; Chiroptera; Pteropodidae. The record is from Rfam.